Molecule: long non-coding RNA, 2131 nt
Filed under: Pelobates cultripes (western spadefoot toad)
Lineage: Eukaryota; Metazoa; Chordata; Amphibia; Anura; Pelobatidae
Source: RNAcentral
CGUGACAGCCCAAGGUAAAUUUCCUCAUUGGAAUCAGAUUAUUUAAUUAGAUGUCCUGGAACAGAGUGAAUUUCAGGAAAGUUUUUUUUUUUUUUUUUUUAACCCCUUAAGGACCAAACUUCUGGAAUAAAAGGGAAUCAUGACAUGUCACACAUGUCAUGUGUCCUUAAGGGGUUAAACAAUAUGUCAAUGUAUAAACAGACAAGGUGAAACAAAAAUGUAGAAAUUGGAAUCCUCUUUUGGAUGCAACCACAUUAUCAGGGACUUCAAGCCAUGUAGUGGUUAGGGAAGGAGAAUACAAUAGCAGAUCUCCUAAGCAAAAGCAAGCUGGAGCUGGGAGUAUGGCACUUAAAUUCCAAUAUCUUCAAACAAGUGUAUGCACUGACCACGACCGGUAGACUUGAUUGCCACGAAGAACAUGCAGGUCCUUUUCUUCUAAAGUAUACCAACCAAUAAUACAGUAGGAAGGGAGGUUUGCCAAGGAAGUGAAAUUUUAAGCAUUGUUAAGUUUUCACACCAGUUCACCUAAUGGCGAGAGUCUUGGAAGAAAAUCAUAAGAAUGUGACGGUAAUAGUUCUAAUUCAUUGGCCAAGAAGGCUGUGAUUUCCAAUUCUAAAAAGGGUAUUUAAGUCCCAUUGGCGAUACCACUGAUACAGAAUGUUCUGUUAAAGAAAAGAUUAUGCAUCCUCUAUUGCUACUUAAAGGAUCACUAUAGUGUCAAGAAAAAGUGGAAGACAGCCUCUAGAGGCUGGCUUAACCCUAAAUGUAAACAUAGCACUUUCUCUGAAACUGCUAUGUUUGCAUCUGAAGAGUUAAAACCUGAGGGACCUAGCACCCAGACCACUUCAUUGAGCUGAAGUGGUCUGGGUAACUAUAAUGUCCCUUUAAAGUAAAUGGAUGAGGUGUACAAUAUGCCAACUUAUUGUGCACAGAAAAUACAUUUAGAUGUAGCUUUUGAUUCAGAGAAUUAAUUUGCCCGAACUGCUUAAUUUUUUCCCUCCCUGUCAUAUUUUGGGUGUCAUAUUUAAUAUAAUUUGGGCACAAUAUAUUAUUAUUGCCAUUUAUAUAGUGCCAACAGAUUCCGUAGCGCUUUACAAUAUUACAUCCUGUUCCAAAUUAUUAUGCAAAUUCUAUUUAAGUGUCACAAAGACUAAAUAUUUUGUUUUUCAGUUUAACUCAUUGAUGGCAUUGUGUCUCAGGGCUCUUUUGAUAACUGAAAACAAUCUCGGACACCUGUGAUAAUUAGAUUGCCAGGUGAGCCCAAAUGAAAGAAAAACUACUAAAGGAGGGUGUUCCACAUUAUCAAGCAGAGCACCAUUUUCAUGCAACAUGGGGAAGAAAAAGGAUCUCUCUGCUGCUGAAAAGAGUGGAAUAGUUCAAUGCCUUGGACGAGGUAUGAAAACAUUCGAUAUUUCACGAAAACUUAAGCGUGAUCAUCGCACUAUUAAGAGAUUUGUGGCUGAUUCAGAGCACAGACGGGUUCGUGCAGAUAAAGGCACAUUGAGGAAGAUUUCUGCCAGAUCCAUGCAUCGGAUCAAGAGAGCAGCUGCUAAUAUACCAUUACAUAGCAGCAAACAGAUAUUUGAAGCUGUUGGUGCCUCUGGAGUCCCACGGACAUCAAGGUGUAGAGUCCUCCAGAGUCUUGCAACUGUGCAUAAACCUUCUAUUCGGCCACCACUAACCAAUGCUCACAAGCAGAAAUGGCUGCAUUGGGCAGAAAAAUACAUGAAGACUAAUUUUCAAACAGUCCUGUUCACUGAUGAGUGCCAUGCUACCCUGGAUGGUCCAGAUGGAUGGUUGGUGGACAGCCACCCUGUUCCAACAAGGCUGCGAUGUCAGCAAGGUGGUGGAGGAGUCAUGUUUUGGGCCGGAAUCAUGGGAAGAGAGCUGGUCGGCCCCUUUAGGGUCCCCGAAGGUGUAAAGAUGACCUCUGCAAAGUAUGUGGUGCUUAUGACUAACCACUUUCUUCCCUGGUACAGAAGGACGAACUAUGCUUUCCGUAAUAAAACCAUCUUCAUGUAUGACAAUGCACCAUCUCAUGCUGCAAAGAAUACCUCUGCAUCAAUGGCUGCUAUAAAAGGAGAGAAAGUCAUGGUGUGGCCUCCAUACUCCCCUGACCUCAAUCCUAUUG